Oryzias melastigma (Indian medaka) is the source of this 1822-nucleotide long non-coding RNA. RefSeq lists it as uncharacterized. The record is from RefSeq and is a predicted model, not a curated record. The transcript is spliced from 2 exons. NCBI's taxonomy places the organism in Eukaryota, Metazoa, Chordata, Actinopteri, Beloniformes, Adrianichthyidae.
CACAUGUGCGCGCUUCCCCGACCGGAAGUAGAAUUAAGUGGUUAGGUCCGUUGCUAUCAAAUGUCCGACGGCUCACUUAGUCCUCAGAAACUUUUCCGAGGACAAUUUCUGAAGUGCGAAAUAAAACGGGACCGACCAGCUCUCCACCCAUGAUUCAGGUCCAAACCAUGACUCCACCACCUCCUUGUUGGGACACAGCCUUGAUGAGUAAUAGUGGGAAUCCACCGACUACCCACUACUGCAUUCUUUUGGACCAUCCAGGGUCCUCCAUACAAGACAUAUGAUUACAUUUAAAUUUGUUACAUUUAAUACAAGUUCCUAAUUGAUUGGAUCUUUUUAAACACUACUUUUGUAAAUCUGAUUUUUUUUUACAUGUUGUGUCAUUUAAUAAAACUCAGUAAGCAAUGGUUUUCCACAAUUUUAAUGUAAUUAAUAAUAAAAAUAUGCAGUCUGAUUCGUCCUAUGAAACAAAUGUAUAUUUGGCAUGUUUACAUGUGAAAUCAUCCUGAAAGUGAAUGUCUGCAGAAAAACUCUAGUGUCUUCUCUCUGCUGCAGCGUGAAGAAACCUGCACCAUCCAGACUCUGACAUGUUCAAACUGGGCUGUAAAUAACUGAGCAGAGUUUCUGUAAAGUGACCUGGCACUACGACAUGAUCUGGACUCAGUCGACAGGUGUGGAGUCUCUUCAUCCGUCUUCCUCCUCCUCUUCAGUUUCCAGAGGGCCUCGAUGAGGAGGGAGGGACGGCGAGAUCCGCUGCCAGCGGUUUGGUGGCCAGAUGAUGUGAGAGGCCCGACCAUGAAGGAGCCCCACGGACACCUGGUGGGGGGUUCAUAAAUAAUCAUAGUUAUGGAUUUAGUUUACUCUGAAGGAUUUACAAAGAGAAUGGUAUAGGCCCUAUAAAGGAACCAAAUUGAGAUUUUUUUGCAUUUUAGGCUCAAACAGCUGCUUGAUUUUGCCAACAUUCACAGCAAGCAAACAAAAACUACAAAUACCAAUUAAAGUUCACCCAUUAUUUGUGAUCGUGUACACAAUUCAUCUACAAAAAAAUCAACAAAGGUUCAAGAGAGUUUUUAAAGACAACGACAUGGUAUUUCACAGGAACACAUCCUGAACAGACUAUAAUCAAUAUGUAUCUCACAGUAAUGAGAAUUUCCUAACUUUAUGACUUUAAUUCAAAAUAAGGAUGCAAAGUAAAAAAAAACUGUGGUGGCUGCCGCCAUCACAGUACCAUGAGUACACUACGUAUUUAUCUGUCUUUUUUUGCUUAAGUUCAUUAAUAUUUAUUUGUGUCUUUGAGGUGCUGGUGCCAGAAGAUCACCACUCUUGCUGUUAAUGCUGCCAUCUACUGGAGAAAAGAAGCAACAACCCAGAAUGAGCAUUUGGCAGAAAUCAACCCGGACAGCAAGCAGCUGAUUGGACUUUUCCAUGGCCAAUAGGGAGGGGAGAAUAUUAAUUUGUGUGUUUAAAUUAUUAUCAUUUGCUUUACCUUCUAAUCAUUUUCAUGAAUUUCUUAAGAGCAACUGUAUGUUGGAUUUAGUUUACAUUGAACUCAUUCAUUUAUUGUGUUUGAAUAUUGCUUGUAGUCAGAGUUUGUCCUUUUCAGUUCCCCCUUGUGUGUCCUCAGUGGUUUGAUCACCCAUAAUGUAUGCUUCCCUUUUGUGCCUAAUAAGUUAGGUCAGUUCUGUUCAUACUUUGUUAACUUAUGUUGCCCUUUUGUUGCUUAACCUUAAACCCGAGUUUCCUUGCUGCUUAGUUGACCUCUUAAGAGUCAAAACAUCUUUUGACAAUAUAAUAAAAUUAUCAACUUUUUAAAUAUUUUUUA